Molecule: ribosomal RNA, 384 nt
Filed under: uncultured bacterium
Lineage: Bacteria
Description: bacterial SSU rRNA
Rfam family: Bacterial small subunit ribosomal RNA
Source: RNAcentral
AUUGAACGCUGGCGGCAUGCCUUACACAUGCAAGUCGAACGGCAGCACGGGAGUAAUCCUGGUGGCGAGUGGCGAACGGGUGAGUAAUACAUCGGAACGUGCCCAGUAGUGGGGGAUAGCCCGGCGAAAGCCGGAUUAAUACCGCAUACGACCUACGGUGAAAGCGGGGAUCGCAAGACCUCGCGCUAUCGGAGCGGCCGAUGUCAGAUUAGGUUGUUGGUGGGGUAAAGGCCUACCAAGCCGACGAUCUGUAGCUGGUCUGAGAGGACGACCAGCCACACUGGGACUGAGACACGGCCCAGACUCCUACGGGAGGCAGCAGUGGGGAAUUUUGGACAAUGGGGCAACCCUGAUCCAGCCAUGCCGCGUGCGGGAAGAAGGCCU